UGGGGAAUUUUGGACAAUGGGCGCAAGCCUGAUCCAGCCAUGCCGCGUGUCUGAAGAAGGCCUUCGGGUUGUAAAGGACUUUUGUUAGGGAGCAAGUCCUGCAGGUUAAGAGCCAGUAGGGAUGAGAGUACCUAAAGAAUAAGCACCGGCUAACUACGUGCCAGCAGCCGCGGUAAUACGUAGGGUGCAAGCGUUAAUCGGAAUUACUGGGCGUAAAGGGUGCGCAGGCGGUAUUGUAAGCCAGAUGUGAAAUCCCCGGGCUCAACCUGGGAACUGCGUUUGGAACUGCAAUGCUAGAGUGUGUCAGAGGGGGGUGGAAUUCCACGUGUAGCAGUGAAAUGCGUAGAGAUGUGGAGGAACACCGAUGGCGAAGGCAGCCCCCUGGGAUAACACUGACGCUCAGGCACGAAAGCGUGGGGAGCAAACAGG
Molecule: ribosomal RNA, 429 nt
Filed under: uncultured bacterium
Lineage: Bacteria
Description: bacterial SSU rRNA
Rfam family: Bacterial small subunit ribosomal RNA
Source: RNAcentral